AAUUCCGGAGAACCUCUUAGGAGUACCGAAGGUGCAAUGCGCUUGUUCAGCGCAGAAUCUCUCAGGUAAAAGGACGGAGUUG
Molecule: non-coding RNA, 82 nt
Filed under: Chordicoccus furentiruminis
Lineage: Bacteria; Bacillati; Bacillota; Clostridia; Lachnospirales; Lachnospiraceae
Also listed under: 1 other name
Description: riboswitch
Rfam family: Glycine riboswitch aptamer
About the family: This family represents the bacterial glycine riboswitch. Glycine riboswitches usually consist of two metabolite-binding aptamers domains with similar structures in tandem. The aptamers cooperatively bind glycine to regulate the expression of downstream genes.
Source: RNAcentral